AAGUCGUAACAAGGUUUCCGUAGGUGAACCUGCGGAAGGAUCAUUACUGAAAAGUUCUUUCAAAGAACCUAUCAAUACCCCAUUGUUUACCUCACCACGUUGCUUCCACUGGACAGGCCAGUCUUCUUACGGAGACCAGCCCUCUGGCGUCGACUUCAAAAAUCGAUUUGCUGGGGAGUGCCGGUGGAUAGCCAUCAACCAAAAAAACUUUUUAAAUCAGCUUUAUAUCGUCUGAACAACUGUUUUAUAACAAAAACAUUAUAAAACUUUCAACAACGGAUCUCUAGGCUCUU
Molecule: unclassified non-coding RNA, 293 nt
Filed under: Peziza ammophila
Lineage: Eukaryota; Fungi; Ascomycota; Pezizomycetes; Pezizales; Pezizaceae
Also listed under: 1 other name
Description: partial internal transcribed spacer region
Rfam family: Eukaryotic small subunit ribosomal RNA (bases 1-46)
Source: RNAcentral